ACAGAGAGUUAAAGAGAAAAAUCCCCUGACCUCAUGGUCCUCCUUCCAUUCUCCCACCAGGGCUCCCUAUUGGUCCACUGGAAACCAGAGGGCAGGUGAGGCAGCAAGUAAAUACAGGUCGUCCUGGUCGGCCUCCAGGAGCAGAGGGCGGAGUGGAAGAGGGUGGAGGAUGGACAUGGAGGUUCAAAGAGAAGACACCCCCCUGGUGGCCUCCCAAGGCACUGCAGUGGAGCAGCGGAUCAGCACCCCUGGGGCCUUGGUAACAACUUGAAAACAGGCUGAGUCCUCAAGAGGAUGGCCAUUCCAGGAAGCCGAGAGUGGGAGCCCCGCUGGUGGAGAUGCCAGGCAUCAGGCCACGGAGGUAAGCGCAUGAUCAGCGCCGUCCUGCGGGCUCUUGCCUUGGAAGGGAA
Molecule: long non-coding RNA, 410 nt
Filed under: Ictidomys tridecemlineatus (thirteen-lined ground squirrel)
Lineage: Eukaryota; Metazoa; Chordata; Mammalia; Rodentia; Sciuridae
Description: lncRNA (ENSSTOG00000033630.1)
Source: RNAcentral